Rhipicephalus sanguineus (brown dog tick) is the source of this 725-nucleotide long non-coding RNA. RefSeq lists it as uncharacterized. The transcript is spliced from 4 exons. Lineage: Eukaryota; Metazoa; Arthropoda; Arachnida; Ixodida; Ixodidae. The record is from RefSeq and is a predicted model, not a curated record.
ACUUCUGCAUUCGUGUGUGUUUCAUCGUGUCGAGUUUUGUUCAUGCGGUCGAGCUGCCUGGCAUGUUACUGACCGUAAGAGAAAGCUCUUCAAUCGGUAUUAUACGCGGGUACCGGGCGAACAGUCACCAGAUGCCGGCCGUGCGAUUCCAAUAUCUGCGACUCCUUUGUUCAGUGAACACCUUCAAACGUUUCUGCACGUCAGUGAGUAGCAGUGCCGCAAUCCUUUCUCGACAACGCGCUCUGUGGCCCUGGAAAAUGCCUUGACGUUCGGGGAUGCCGGGCGCGGGUAGCUUGGCCAUUCCUCGCUUGGUGGAUCGCUUGAAAACCGACUGUCAGCCUGCAGUGUACGCCGCCGGCGUGCUUUCUUGCCAGAGAUAACAAACAGCAGUGCCACGACUAACAGUGGAGUGCUGACCACGCAGUCCAGAAGGUGGCCGAGGCAAGCAUGCCAUAAGAGGUGCUUAUUCAGGCAGAAGAAAUAAGCAUCUGUAGCCAACGUAAAGGAAGCAUCUUCAAAAAGCAGUGCUACAAGGAUGUGAGCAGCAGUUUCCCUUCAACGAACGGGUCAAAUUCAUGGAAGCCAUGUGCCUGCUGCUUCUGGCCUACACAAACAUGCAGCCACCAUAGUAAAGUUCUUACAAAGACAUUCUACACAAACUUGCCCAAAGGCGGAAGGAAGGCACGCACAGAUGGACACAGAAAUCAUGGGGCUGCCACAGAAGC